UACGUAGGGGGCAAGCGUUGUCCGGAAUCAUUGGGCGUAAAGCGCGUGUAGGCGGUUCGGUAAGUCUGCUGUGAAAGUCCAGGGCUCAACCCUGGGAUGCCGGUGGAUACUGCUGGGCUAGAGUACGGAAGAGGCGAGUGGAAUUCCCGGUGUAGCGGUGAAAUGCGCAGAUAUCGGGAGGAACACCUAUUGCGAAGGCAGCUCGCUGGGACGUUACUGACGCUGAGACGCGAAAGCGUGGGGAGCAAACAGG
Molecule: ribosomal RNA, 253 nt
Filed under: uncultured bacterium
Lineage: Bacteria
Description: partial 16S ribosomal RNA
Rfam family: Bacterial small subunit ribosomal RNA
Source: RNAcentral